Molecule: ribosomal RNA, 497 nt
Filed under: uncultured bacterium
Lineage: Bacteria
Description: partial 16S ribosomal RNA
Rfam family: Bacterial small subunit ribosomal RNA
Source: RNAcentral
GAUGAACGCUGGCGGCGUGCCUAAUACAUGCAAGUCGAGCGAACGGACGAGAAGCUUGCUUUUCUGAUGUUAGCGGCGGACGGGUGAGUAACACGUGGAUAACCUACCUAUAAGACUGGGAUAACUUCGGGAAACCGGAGCUAAUACCGGAUAAUAUUUUGAACCGCAUGGUUCAAAAGUGAAAGACGGUCUUGCUGUCACUUAUAGAUGGAUCCGCGCUGCAUUAGCUAGUUGGUAAGGUAACGGCUUACCAAGGCAACGAUGCAUAGCCGACCUGAGAGGGUGAUCGGCCACACUGGAACUGAGACACGGUCCAGACUCCUAAGGGAGGCAGCAGUAGGGAAUCUUCCGCAAUGGGCGAAAGCCUGACGGAGCAACGCCGCGUGAGUGAUGAAGGUCUUCGGAUCGUAAAAAUCUGUUAUUAGGGAAGAACAUAUGUGUAAGUAACUGUGCACAUCUUGACGGUACCUAAUCAGAAAGCCACGGCUAACUACGUG